This 391-nucleotide ribosomal RNA is filed under the name Nitratidesulfovibrio vulgaris. Its description in RNAcentral is "bacterial SSU rRNA". It matches the Rfam family "Bacterial small subunit ribosomal RNA", at positions 412 to 797 of the family's 1533-position model. The record is from RNAcentral. Lineage: Bacteria; Pseudomonadati; Thermodesulfobacteriota; Desulfovibrionia; Desulfovibrionales; Desulfovibrionaceae.
AGGUCCUCGGAUCGUAAACCUCUGUCAGGAGGAAAGAACCGCCACGGUGCUAAUCAGCCGUGGUCUGACGGUACCUCCAAAGGAAGCACCGGCUAACUCCGUGCCAGCAGCCGCGGUAAUACGGAGGGUGCGAGCGUUAAUCGGAAUCACUGGGCGUAAAGCGCACGUAGGCUGCUUGGUAAGUCAGGGGUGAAAGCCCGCGGCUCAACCGCGGAAUUGCCUUUGAUACUGCCGAGCUAGAGUCCGGGAGAGGGUAGUGGAAUUCCAGGUGUAGGAGUGAAAUCCGUAGAGAUCUGGAGGAACAUCAGUGGCGAAGGCGACUACCUGGACCGGUACUGACGCUGAGGUGCGAAAGCGUGGGGAGCAAACAUGAUUAUAUACCCUGGGUCAA